RNAcentral lists this ribosomal RNA (497 nucleotides) under uncultured bacterium. Its description in RNAcentral is "partial 16S ribosomal RNA". It matches the Rfam family "Bacterial small subunit ribosomal RNA", at positions 28 to 507 of the family's 1533-position model. The record is from RNAcentral.
GAUGAACGCUGGCGGCGUGCCUAACACAUGCAAGUCGUGCGAACAGACCCUUUGCUUGGUCCUCUGACGUUAGCGGCGGACGUGUGAGUAACACAUGCUUAACCUACCUAUAGGACUAGGCUAACUUCGGGAAACCAGUGCUAAUAACGUAUACUAUCUUCAACCGCAUGGUUCAAUAGUUAAAGCGGGUUUUGCUGGCACUUAUACCUGUAACCGUGCCGGUUUAGCUAGUUGGUAACGUAGCGGCUUACCAAGGCAACGAUGCGUAGCCGACCUGAGAGGGUGAUCGGCCACACUGGACCUGAGACACGGUCCAGACUCCUACGGGAGGCAGCAGUAGGGAAUCUUGCGCAAUGGGCGAAAGCCUGACGGAGCAACGCCGCGUGAGUGAUGAAGGUCUUCGGAUCGUAAAACUCUGUUAUUAGGGAAGAACAAAUGUGUAAGUAACUAUGCACGUCUUGACGGUACCUACUCAGAAAGCCACGGCUAACUACGUG